UUAUUUGAGCCCAAUACAUUACUAAAAAAAACUCUUCUUUUCCUCCCUUAAAAAAACUCUCUUCUUCCCGCGUUAGGGUUUUCUCCCCUUCAAGUUGCUGUUCCUUUUUCUUCAUCCCUAUCGAUUUUCAAAUUCAUGUCAAUAUCAAAAGUGUGAUACUUUUACAAUUUCGCAUACAGUCUAGAUUUUUCAUCAUCUUCAAACCUUAACUCAUGAUUUGAAGGGUUUAUCAGUAUUGUUGAUCUUGCAUCAUUGAUUUCUUUGUGUGAAUCUGUUUAUUUGACAAACUAAUUUCUAAUCUAUCCAAACCACUCACAACUUGUUGUUGUGCAAAGGAAAAGGCUAUUGACGACUUGACCAAGGCAUUAGAGUUUGAAUCCAACAUAGCAGACAUUUUACAUGAGAGAAUAAGGAAUUAAGAUAUAGUGUGUGAUAGGGGGCUGGGACCGACCUCCUAUUAGGAAGGUUUACAGUAAGAGGAUCAACAAAACCUCACAUGUUCUGAAAAACUCUGACAGUUUCUGAAACUAGAAAUCAUGGUGGAUUCGCCGUGCCUCGUCAAGUAGCUGAAGAUUUCUUUUCAUCCCCGGUACUUACUUUCAAUGUCUUUCCAUGUCGAUGCAUUAAUUCCUAUUCUGUCUAGUAGAUUGAUCUUAUAGAUGCUUCGAAAUGACAUACCCUUGUACCAGCAUCUCAAAUUGGUUAUUUAGAUUGAAUUGACUCUUAAAUGCAUAAGUGAAUGUACCAGCAUCUCAAAUUGGUUAUUUAGAUUGAAUUGACUCUUAAAUGCAUAAGUGAAUGUACCAGCAUCUCAAAUUGGUUAUUUAGAUUGAAUUGACUCUUAAAUGCAUAAGUGAAUGUAGCUUAAUAUAUUAUAGAAUAUACUUUUUGCACUUAGAUGGAAUUGGUUACUGAAGAGUAUUUGGACUUAAUAUGUUAUAGAAUAUACUUUUUGCAUGUGAAGAGAUUUUAAAAACCAAUCAAAUUGAAAAUUUGCAAAUUGGUAAUGAACUUUUUCAUAAACUAAUUUGAAAUAUAUUGAGUGGAUCACGCCUUGUUUCUUUCAUUUAAUAUGAAUAAUUUAUUUCUAAUUGCUGUAACUAAUCUCUCUAAUACAGAAUAUAUACACAGGCUUAUGUCAUUUAAUAUGGACAUUAUUUCUAACUACUGUAACGAGUAGUCUGUCAAGUCAAGAAAUUUCCAUUGUGAAACAUUGAAGCAUGUAGUAAUGUAGUAUGGUAUCAGUACACCUCAUGUCUCAUACAGAAUGCAUUGCGGCAACAAAGCUAUGUUCAUGAAGUUUCAAUUCAUUACAAUCUCAAUGAGUCAUACCGAGAUUGGCAUUGGGGGAGCAACUGAUAGUUUGAGUCGCCAUCAAGUUAGACUCCAAGCUUAUAAGUGAUACGGGAGAAAAUAGUUGUCUGAUUAUGUAUUGAAACACUUGUUGUUGAUAGUGUUAUUUGCUUUUGCAAUAUUUUUUAUAAUUAAAUUAGAUUUUGUGAUAUAACCCAUAAAUCAUAUUGUUAUAUGAUGUUAGCAUUCUUAAAAUCACUGAAGCUAUAUUCUUCAUCUA
Molecule: long non-coding RNA, 1573 nt
Organism: Vicia villosa (hairy vetch)
Lineage: Eukaryota; Viridiplantae; Streptophyta; Magnoliopsida; Fabales; Fabaceae
Exons: 6
Source: RefSeq, a predicted model, not a curated record